CCCCUUCCACCACACGUAUCAUCUACUCUCUCUCACCUAAAUUACUAUUCAUAUUCUUCCCCAAAUUGCACAAAUAGGGAAAAAUCUCUCCCAGAUCAGAAUUUCCGUCGACCAGCCAUCCCACCGGCGCCGCCUCUGCCUCCGGUGCCGCCAUCAUGCCACCACCACCUCCGUCUGUCCCUUCUCCUUUCUCUUCUCUCCCUCGCCUAUGCUCACGCCGCCGCCGCUGCAGAUCCGCCGUCGUCGCGGGUCCGCCUCCCCCAGCCGCCGACGCCACAUCCGAGACCCCUUCCCCUGCCGUGCGUAGCUUUCCGACAUGUAACAUUUGCCAAGAUUUCGAAUUCAUUGAAAGUCAUAGGGGCGUGGGGCUGCCCUCGUCGUCUCCGGGCGGCCAAGCUCGCUGCCGGAAUCCGGUAGAUUCAUAGAGAUAAGUUUUUCUCCUUCUUUCUAGUUAUUAAGGCAGUGGGAUUCUAUUUUAUUUCUAUUUACUGAAUUUGGUGAAUUAUGAGUAGUAUAUGCCUUGCUAUAUGGAAGAUUAAAUGGUGAAAAUAAAUUAUGUUGUUAAACUUGUGGUAGCAGAUUCUAUUUCCAAAAAAUAUGCAUAUGCUUGUAUAUAUAUGACUAUGAAAGAAAAGGGAGGUUGGGGUUUACCUUAUUGAUAUGAGAACAAAGUGUUGUUGGAUUGUAGAGUAUGAUCCUAUAAUCAUCUGCAAGACUCCCCCGUCUCUGAUUCUUGUUCUCCCUUUCGAUUUGUUGGUGUGUGCAGAGAGAAUAGAUGGUGUGAUUGUGAUGUGGGGGUGAAGAAAACGAUUGUCUAUAUGUAUAAAAGAUGGGGGUGAAAGUGGCAUGGGUAGCAAGUUGGUUGUGGCAAGUUGCCUGCCAGAUUCCUAUCUCAAAUCUCUUUUGCCAGAGGAGGGGAUAAAAUUUGCCUAAUCUAAUUAAAUGCAUCAUUGAAUGUUGGGUUAAAAAAACGAUUCUCCCCCCUCUCUCUUUUUCUUUUUUUUAAUUUUAUUUUAUUUAUUUAUUAAAGUAACUAUUUAAGUAUUUAUUCACUUGUUCAUUUAAUUUGGUGUAGGUAAGAUCAGUUCAAGUUUGUGGUUGUCCGCGUUGAAGUUCCCGAUUUUUAUUAGAACGCAGGAGGCAGCGACGGGGAACAGGGGCUGAUGCGACGUCGGCUCUGGGCUGGAUCGCGCACAGCCACGGCGGGAGGAAAACAGCAAUAUCCGUUCAACGGCGACCCUAGUGGCGGCAGCGGUGGCUGAUCAACAGCGAUGAUGGAGAGUCUCGGCUGCGCGAAUCGCAGCGACGAUGAGAGAAGAAGAUAGGCGAAGAGCUGAGCUUUCGAGCUCACCGACGGUGACGACGGAGUACAGAUCGGAGGGCAGAGAAAGCGAGGUUGGGAACAGGGGCAGUAGCUGCGCGAAGGACAUCAGCCGCGCAGCAGUUCAGCGACCAAACGCCGACGAAUGAGGGAGAGCAGACCUAGACAAUGGCUGACGGCGAAGGAGAAUUUUUUAAGAGAGAGGGAGCGCUGCGUGAAAGGAGAUGCGAUA
Salvia splendens (bonfire salvia) is the source of this 1553-nucleotide long non-coding RNA. RefSeq lists it as uncharacterized. Lineage: Eukaryota; Viridiplantae; Streptophyta; Magnoliopsida; Lamiales; Lamiaceae. The transcript is spliced from 3 exons. The record is from RefSeq and is a predicted model, not a curated record.